RNA transcript from Prionailurus viverrinus (fishing cat), 4030 nucleotides. It is a transcript of the gene named integrin subunit beta 3 binding protein, with no coding region annotated. The record is from RefSeq and is a predicted model, not a curated record. NCBI's taxonomy places the organism in Eukaryota, Metazoa, Chordata, Mammalia, Carnivora, Felidae. The transcript has 12 exons.
CUCAAACACUCGGAUCCCUCGUAGAGAGGGAGGGUGUUUCCAGCGGUCCACCUUGUGUGUGACACAGCGUCUGGCGCCCGCAGGCCCGCGCUUUUCGGACUCCAGCGUUUCCCUCCGGAGAAACUGCUUUAGGAAGACGUUGCUCAGUUCCUUUUAUCCCACAGUGGUGCUCUCCUGAAUGUCGAAAUGCCUGUUAAGAGAUCACUGAAAUUGGAUCACCUCUUAGAAGCAAAAUCAUUUGAUUCUUCAAAAAUCACAAGGAAGAACAGUAUUACAACUUACUCUCCAACAACUGGAACUUGUCAGAUGAGCCCAUUUGCUUCUCCUGCAAGCUCUAAAGAACAAGACCACAAAAGUGAACCAUCAAAUGGAAAGAGGAAAAAAAUGAAUCACCUCAGUUUAAAUGAAAGGAAGGAAUCUACAACAAAAGACGAUGAAUUCAUGGUGUUGCUAUCUCAAGUUGAAAAAUCAUCAGAAGAAAUCCUGGAGAUAAUGCAAAAUUUAAGUAGUAUACAGGCUUUGGAGGGCAGUAGAGAGCUUGGAAAGCUCAUUGGUAUCUCCCGUAUGUCAUGUUUCUUCUUACAAAAAGAAAUGCAGAAAACGAAAGAACUAAUGACAAAAGUAACAGAACAAAAACUCUUUGAAAAGAAGAAUUCAGGACCUCCCAACAAAGAAUUAUAUCAUCUUGACAGCUAUGAAUUCCUUAAAGGCAUUUUAAACUGAGUUCCCUAUGGAUUCAGCAAUGAUUCUGACCAAUAGCAAGUACAAAAAGGGACUAGGAGUCCAAUGAGGAUCCAAGUAUCAACUUAAUUAGUUGGAGGAAUUGAUAACCUCCAACAUGGCAGAUCCUCUGGCAGAAACUUGGGUCAUGAUCAAUCGAUGAAACUUCUCUGCAUGGUCUGGCAUUAUAACAGAGGACAGGAUUUGGAUUACACGUCCCGUACCCGCUCUGCUACCUACUUAGCUCUGUGGCCUUAAACAUUUAGAAGAAAUGCACUUACUAUGGACACCAACUUCUUCUGCAUCUGCCUGAUCAUAUUUAAAGGAACAGAAGAAAUGUUUGUAAUUAAUCUGCCCAGUAAAUACCAGAUCAUAGCACUAGGCAGGUGUGUGUCUAGAUAAAAUUUCUUGCAGCUAAUUUAAACUUUCUACACACAGCAGUAGAUAAUCUCAAUGUAAAUAAUACAUUUCUUCUUGACCCUUUAAUGUAAGCCAACAUGUAGAACAAGAUCUUGACUUCAAUUCUGUAUCACAUACACUUCUGUAUACUUUUAGCAUUUGUGGAUAGACUUAGAACAUUUAUGAAAAUGGCACAUUUGGUAAAACUGUGUUUUAAAGAUCAGAUUAAAUCUAAUGGUGAGUGGAAUUAGGUACCACUUUCCCAUUUAAAGCCCCAGAUGUGUAUUAAUUAGAUUUUUUUACACUUACAGAAUUUUUCAAGUUUAUUGUAUAGCCACUGUCUCGGGGACGAGUCUUUAUUAUAUUCUAGUUAUUCCUAUGUUUGUGCAGAAAAACUAUUUCAAUGUUUAAAAAUUUUUAUACCUUUUAUAGAAUAGUGGAAUGCAUUUUUCAGUACAUUUUAAAAUAUGCAGUUCUUAAACUGAACUACACACUGUACUGAAUUGAAAGGACCUUUCUUAUGGGUCAGGAAUCAUUUUGAUUCCUUCCAAAUGAUUUUGAAACAUUAUUUUAAAUUUCUAUUUUUCUGUGGUGUUAUUUUGUAUUAUAAUCAUCUGUACUCUCACGAAACAAGGGGAAUAGGGUAUCACAGGAUGUGUUAUGACUUGAUAACACGGUUUUUUAAAACUUCUGUAUUUUUCUUUGACCACUUCUGCAGGGGAAAAAAUGCUAUUCCCUUGGUACUUGCCCUAAGUCUUGAUAAAAUUUGUGGAAGAUACUACUGUAUCAUGAAAUAAAAAUACUGUAUGAAAAUCUGAAACAAAAUUUAACUUGUUUGAAAAUAACUGAUUUUCCAUUUAGAGAAAUUUCAGAUUUACUUCUUAAAAUGAAAAUGGGUUUUACGAACUAUUAAAUGACAUAGAUACUAAAUAGUAACCCAAUUAACUAUUAAACCUAAUUGCCUUCACUAAUGACUUUAUUGGUACUAUUUAAAUAAGACUUUUAAGAUAAUCUGCUAAAUAUUAAGAACACUUUGUGAUACAGUCCUUGUAAUAGGAUAUUACCGAAAAUAUACCAAAAAGAAUAAUUCUUUUUGUGUUCUAGCACUGAAAACUAACCUUAGGAUGUAAAGCCAAAGCAUAUAAAGAAACUUACAUUAGUCAGGAAUUAAAGGGUUAAGAAGUAGUUUAGUUUCAUAUGUAAUGCAAGUUAUGUAGGUGUGUGCUUAAUGCUAUUAAAUCAGUUACUGUAUGUUUGACCUCUUGAUAUACUAAGCUUUUGCCUUUCAGAACAGCUGGGUCUGCUAAGAAUCAUUUCCCAGUCCUCUUCAUUGUAGAUCAGAUGACUCUCGCUUUAUCACCCUUGGAGGCCACAUGAAGGACAAAGCAGAAAGAUCCACACACAAAACUAAUGUUUAUAUGGGGGGGAGGGGGUGCAGCAUGGAGGAAGGCGGGGGAUACACUUGGCCCUGAUCUUCCAAUGAACAUAACAGAAGAGAGACCAAUUGAGACUUGAAACCCGUGUUACUCCAACCAUUAUUUAGUUACAUCCUAUCCAUCUUUUACUCUUUCUAUUGAACAGAGAGGCUCCUUUGGCUGCCCUGACUUUUGUAAAUGUUUCACUCACUUAGUUGUGGUUUAUCAUUUGGACAGAAUGCUACAUCUGGGAUUUUUCUCCCCUCCUUAAGGCCUCAAAGGAAAAUGGCUUCUGUAUGCUUCAUAUUUGAUACAUGAACAUACACCCUGUUCUCUUCAUUUUAAGAAGCAAACCUAAGUUUAUUGGCAACAGAGAAAACUGCAUUUCUCAGAAAGGGCCCUUCCCUCUAAAACGAACUUGAAAAUAACUUAGAAGGGUUCAUUUUUUUGACAGAUUAGUGAAGUGAGAAAUCUUUAAUAUUUUUGCAUUACCUAAAUAUCUUUAUAUUUAGAUAUCCCAGUAAUCCUGUCACUGAAAUACUUUAGAAUUGCCUAUUUCUGUGUUUUUAAUUCAUCACUGGACAUUUUUGGUAUUUUGUUUUUGUUUUUUAAUGUUUAUUUUUGAGAGAGAAAACAAAGCAGGGGAGUGGCAGAGAGAGAGCAAGACACAGAAUCUGAAGCAGGCUCCAGGCUCUGAGCUGUCAGCACAGAGCCCAACACAGGGCUUGAACCCAUGACCAUUAGAAGUCAGACGCUUAACCAACCGAGCCAUCCAGGUGCCCCCAUUUUUGGUAUUUUGCAACCUAAUCCAAGUUCAGAGUGGACUCUUCUUAAAUUGGUUUCUAACAGAUAGUUAAGACAUACUUGACUUAUAAUUGCUACAAGUCUCCAUAAAAGCUACAAUGUUAACUCAGUAUGACUAGGUUAAAUCAUCUAGAAAAUGUAUAAAGAAUUUGCCCUUAACAUCCUUUGAAUAUGUACAUAUUCUAUUAAUAUUUACAUACUUUUUCAAAUAAUGUUUCUCUGUUCCAGUUAUUCAGAAGUUAGAACUUCCUCAUCGAUUUAAAUCAACAUCCUGUGUUAAACCUAUGUAUGCUAUUCCAAAAAAUAAAAAAUAAAAAAAUAGGACUACACCAGCCAGCCAAGAUGCUGACAUUUGGGCACAGUGAUUACAGAUGGUGACCAUGGACAGCAGUGUUCCUGCUGAUUCGGCAGUGAUUCAAGGCUGCUUUUCUGUGCUGACCUGCCCUUUGAGUCUUUAUGCACAUUUGCUUCGAAAAAGAAAUACUUCCUGAUUUUUGCUUUGUCUAAAUCUAUUUACUUCCUUUAUCAGACUUAGAAGUACAUACCUUCUUGUAUCAGCCUGUGGCUGUCCAUGUCUAGAACCAAAUUUUCUUUGUGUAUAUGUGUUCAUUGUUUUAAAAUGUAUCACCAGUCAAUAUACUUUAAUGGCUAUCUUAUGAAAGAAAUAUAUUCAUUAAAAACACACGAUGUGA